ACGGCUUUCUGAAAGAUUUAACCCUGCAGGGGUGCUCCAACUAGUCCAUCACAAAUUACCACAAGCCGCAUAGAAAUCCUCAAUCACGAAGCUCGCGAUCUCGUCGGAUUCCCUAGUGGAAAACCUCAACUCUGAGAUUACCCAAAGCAUCACCGGAAUCCCGAUGCACAAGAUAUCUCGUUAAAGGUAAAACUAAUCCAGCAAGGCCGCCCGACGUGUCG
RNAcentral lists this long non-coding RNA (221 nucleotides) under Hordeum vulgare. RNAcentral's name for it is "long non-coding RNA (HVUL_LNC008845)". Lineage: Eukaryota; Viridiplantae; Streptophyta; Magnoliopsida; Poales; Poaceae. The record is from RNAcentral.